Long non-coding RNA from Panicum virgatum (switchgrass), 1168 nucleotides. RefSeq lists it as uncharacterized. The record is from RefSeq and is a predicted model, not a curated record. Lineage: Eukaryota; Viridiplantae; Streptophyta; Magnoliopsida; Poales; Poaceae. The transcript is spliced from 4 exons.
UUGUGUAGCCCUGCAGGCCAAGUCAACGUGCUCCUUCUCAAAGGAGCUACUACUGUAUCUAGCUCGCCCCUCUCCGUCGCCAUGGUUAUCGAUCUGCUGCUACGCCCACCGGAGAUGUGCAAAAGCAGCGAGGCUGUGGCGUGAGCUGAGCUUCAUUCUCUGCUGCCACUACUUGUGGCAUGGCAACGGCAGAUGACGAAAUGUGGGCGAUCUGUGUCUUGCGGAUAUACUCAAGCUGGAAGCUAGAAGAUAGAGCAGAUCUGGGGAAAAAAAAAGUGUUGCUGUUUGCCUGGUGGACUGGAUCCAUUUUCUUUGCCCUUUACAGGUUGAGUCUUGCGAUGAGAGGUUGACGAGCACGAUGAGGAGCUGAUGUAGCAUCAAGGCCUAAGCAUAUAUUCCUUCAGCUCCACAUCUUGAUCAGUUGACCAAACAACCCAGAGAUAAGCAUGAUGAUAUUAGUUUCACCUUUAAAUUCUAUCUACAGUAAAGACCAUGGUCAGUGUCCGCACAUCUUGACAAUUUUUAAGGAGUUAUUAGUUUGAGGUGUAGCAAACUAUUGUGACAAGAUCUAUUCUCAAAAGUUUUUGAAAACAGAAAACCGACUGAAUCUCUGGAAUCCGGAUGAUUUCUCAUUCGUGGACGUCACCGGGAAAUACCUUUCCAACAGGGAGGGAUAUUAUUACCCUACUCAAGUAUGUUGAACUGGUUAUGUUGCUAUCGUCACUUGAUCGUGUGAUACGAAUAAUAUCAGCAUAUCCAUCAUGUUUUUUUAUGAAUAGUAUUGGCAACAUGACUUAUUAAAAGUAUCUGAUGAACAUGCACAUACGUAGAAUCCAUUGUGCACCAAUGCCUGGUCCUACCUUUAUCAAAAACAAAGUCUGGUCCUAUGAGGAUUUUGGUCAUAGUUAUUUUUUUUAUGAGAUAUGACAAAGAAACUGUUAGAUGCAUAGUAAUGGAAGGGGUUACGUAUGUUACCAUUCCUAUUCCUGCACAAAAGUUGAUUUUCUGUACAUUUAUUCACACAUUAUGAUGAUCAAGGCGGCUAUAAGACGGUUAUUGUUUUUGAUAGUGAAUAUCAAGUGUUGACAAUAGGGAGCAACGCAGUUUGGGUAUUUUUCAGAACUCAGCAUCUGAUUAUUGAAAAUAAAGAACGUAGUCACAAAGAGGC